This 494-nucleotide ribosomal RNA is filed under the name uncultured bacterium. Its description in RNAcentral is "partial 16S ribosomal RNA". It matches the Rfam family "Bacterial small subunit ribosomal RNA", at positions 28 to 507 of the family's 1533-position model. The record is from RNAcentral.
GACGAACGCUGGCGACGCGCUUAACACAUGCAAGUCGAACGGAAAGGCCUGCUUUCCCUUGUGGAUUGCGGGUACUCGAGUGGCGAACGGGUGAGUAACACGUGAGUGAUCUGCCCCCAACUUGGGUAUAAGCCUGGGAAACUGGGUCUAAUUCCCGAUAGGACUGCAGGGUGGUGCCUGUGGUGGAAAACGAUUUUCUAGUGGUUGGGGAUGAGCUCGCGGCCUAUCAGCUUGUUGGUGGGGUAAUGGCCUACCAAGGCGGCGACGGGUAGCCGGCCUGGGAGGGUGGACGGCCACAUUGGGACUGAGAUACGGCCCCGACUCCUACGGGAGGCAGCAGUGGGGAAUAUUGCACAAUGGGCGGAAGCCUGAUGCAGCGACGCCGCGUGGGGGAUGACGGCCUUCGGGUGGUAAACUCCUUUCGACCGCGAGGAAGCCACCUGGUUGGAAGGGUGGUGACGGUAGUGGUAGAAGAAGCACCGGCUAACUACGUG